CCUACGGGUGGCUGCAGUGGGGAAUUUUGCGCAAUGGGGGAAACCCUGACGCAGCAACGCCGCGUGGAGGAUGAAAUCCCUUGGGAUGUAAACUCCUUUCGAUCGGGACGAUUAUGACGGUACCGGAAGAAGAAGCCCCGGCUAACUUCGUGCCAGCAGCCGCGGUAAUACGAGGGGGGCAAGCGUUGUUCGGAAUUAUUGGGCGUAAAGGGCGCGUAGGCGGUCUGACAAGUCUGAUGUGAAAUCUCUGGGCUCAACCCAGAGUCUGCAUUAGAAACUGUCGGGCUUGAGUAUGGGAGAGGUGAGUGGAAUUUCCGGUGUAGCGGUGAAAUGCGUAGAUAUCGGAAGGAACACCUGUGGCGAAAGCGGCUCACUGGACCAUAACUGACGCUGAGGCGCGAAAGCUAGGGGAGCAAACAGGAUUAGAUACCCUAGUAGUC
This 440-nucleotide ribosomal RNA is filed under the name uncultured bacterium. RNAcentral describes it as "bacterial SSU rRNA". It matches the Rfam family "Bacterial small subunit ribosomal RNA", at positions 338 to 795 of the family's 1533-position model. The record is from RNAcentral.